GUCCACGCCGUAAAACGAUGGGUGCUAGGUGUGGGGGGUGUCGACUCCCUCCGUGCCGAAGCUAACGCAUUAAGCACCCCGCCUGGGGAGUACGGCCGCAAGGCUAAAACUCAAAGGAAUUGACGGGGGCCCGCACAAGCAGCGGAGCAUGUGGUUUUAAUUCGACGCAACGCGAAGAACCUUACCUAGGCUUGACAUGCACGGGAAUGUCCGGGGAAACUCGGCAGCCCUUCGGGGCUCGUGCACAGGUGUUGCAUGGCUGUCGU
RNAcentral lists this ribosomal RNA (266 nucleotides) under uncultured bacterium. Its description in RNAcentral is "partial 16S ribosomal RNA". It matches the Rfam family "Bacterial small subunit ribosomal RNA", at positions 793 to 1055 of the family's 1533-position model. The record is from RNAcentral.